Molecule: long non-coding RNA, 743 nt
Organism: Nicrophorus vespilloides
Lineage: Eukaryota; Metazoa; Arthropoda; Insecta; Coleoptera; Silphidae
Exons: 3
Source: RefSeq, a predicted model, not a curated record
AAGGAUUGCCCUCACAUGAUUAUCGAGUAUAUAACCUCCACCUAUAUAUUUUUUACAACCAUUGUAUACAAAGAUAAUAAAUCAAUUUGCAAGUUCCAAUUGGAUGCGAAAUUAAUUUGGAUCCGCAGUGCUCAUAUGGAACAAAAGGUCAUGCGAAAUAGUCGUAAACAGUUGAAGUUCGUGUAAGUAUACAAGGAAGUAAUAAAUGCCGCAGUGAAAACAGUUUUCAGGUUUCUUUACUCUUAAUCCGAGAAGUUGUAUGAACAAUUUUUUGAAAAUUACAUACGACCUUGUACUUGAUGGGGAAUGCGGAACGCGCGAAAAUCAAUAUGGGCGACGCCAGACGGAAAGCGGGGGCGGCGGAGAGGCGACGGUCGUCACGGGGGACGCAAAUGCAAAAAUCGAUGAGCGCAAUUUGACGGGGUGGAUUUUCCACCUCCGACCCUCAACGUCAUACGCUUUAACGUAGGCCUUAUUGUGUGCAAUGUCGACGUAUCCACAUUAAGCUAUUUUAAACACAAGUGUUAGUAGAGUUGCAUAUUCUGGAACAAGAACUGUUGAAAACACCAAAGAUGUCUCACAAAGGAGGAAAAUUGGUAGAAGGAGACACGUUCGCGGCAAUACUAGGAAUGUCGAAUUUAAUGAAUACAGGUCUUGAACCAGAGUCCCUCUCAAUUUGUGUACAGUUGAUUGAAGCUGGAGUAAAUCCAAGUGUGCUGGCCACAAUAAUCAGCCAGAUGCGG